UACGUAGGUGGCAAGCGUUACUCGGAAUCACUAGGCGUAAAGCGCAGGUAGGCGGUUCGGUAAGUCUUUUGUGAAAGCUCCCGGCUCAACUGGGAGAGGUCAAAGGAAACUACCGGGCUAGAAUGUGGUAGGGGAAACUGGAAUUCCUGGUGUAGCGGUGAAAUGCGUAGAUAUCAGGAGGAACACCUAUGGCGAAAGCAGGUUUCUGGGCCAUCACUGACGCUGAGCUGCGAAAGCUAGGGGAGCAAACAGG
RNAcentral lists this ribosomal RNA (253 nucleotides) under uncultured bacterium. RNAcentral describes it as "partial 16S ribosomal RNA". It matches the Rfam family "Bacterial small subunit ribosomal RNA", at positions 524 to 776 of the family's 1533-position model. The record is from RNAcentral.